Molecule: long non-coding RNA, 1584 nt
Organism: Peromyscus eremicus (cactus mouse)
Lineage: Eukaryota; Metazoa; Chordata; Mammalia; Rodentia; Cricetidae
Exons: 5
Source: RefSeq, a predicted model, not a curated record
GCCCAGGUUAGAGGGUUGGAUCUACGUAUCCGAGAGGGACUCAUCUUUCCAUCUUGUCUGCCUAGACAAGUGUCCCUUAUCUAUCAGAGUACACAGCCCACUGUGUCCAGUUGGAGCAGCCAGGAUGUGCGUGGAUGUAGGGCCAUCUAUUGGAUCAUUGGUAGUCUCCCAGUGGCCACAUCCUUGAGGAAAACUGGCUCUGCCGCCAUCAGCUGCCAUAGCUCCUCAGGUUGCAUUCUCUGGAAGGAAGCCACGAAGUGCAGCCACACUUAAGGAAGGAGGCAUUGUGCUCCUUGAGGGCAGAGAAUGAGAGAAGUAAAUAAAAAUUAGAGGAGUAGUGCCAUGUUUGUGAGGGAAACCCUGAUGGAAACCUUGAAGAGGAUUCCAAGUAUUCAAGACAUGACUUCAGCAUGACCAGCCAGCGCCUGGUGCUCAGUAAAUGAGAGCUUUGGGACCUAUUCCUCCUUUAUUGUUGGUCACGGGAAGAGCUGUCAAUCUGCUGUGAGGUGGACUUACUUUGUCUUUUCCUGAAGACUUUUGAUUUCAGGACUUUCAGAAAUGUGAACUCCAUUCUCAAGUUUUAGAGCAUUUCCAAACAGGUGGAAAGCUGGAUCCGCCCACGGGCUGUAGCUGGCUGCCCUGUGGCAUCAUCCAGUGGCCUGGUGGCUCUGUAAUAUUUUCCACAGCUGCUGCUCCGUUUUACCAGCCCAGACCUUCCGCAUCCCACCCCUGCACACCAACUCCCACCUCAGGGUAGGAGAGGUCCAAUUCACUCACUUAGACAUUUUCUCCUGGACUUCCAAUUCCUAAUGUCCAGACCUUUCCUGUAGGCUCUGUGGAAAGUCGUCUCAUUAGGUGACAACAGAUUCUAAAAUCUAAAUGGGAAACCGGGCUGCUCACUGAUGCCCAGCACUGUGCUGGCUCCUUGCAGGGCGGGGACUCUGUGCAGCUCAGGCUCACGGGCUCCUUUAUGAACAUCUUCCAGCUCUAGCAGGUGAGCAUGCUGGCCUAUGACAUCGUUAUUCUCCCUCACAAACUCAGUGAGGAGAAACAGUGAAUCCAACUCUCAGGGGCAAGUAGGAAAAGCAGGGCACGAGUCAGGUUCCUACUCACCAGAGAUUGGCUGUUGAUUUUUCUCAUCAGGAGCCAGCGGGACUAGAGAUUGCCCUGGGUAGGGCAGAGGAAGCAUCAGAGAGUAGAAGGGCUGGGUGCCAGGCAGGCUAGUUGUGUCCAGCCUGGAGUUAUAUGACUUUCAAGAGACAGGUGGAAUCAACCACUACAGCACAGCCUCAGAGCAUGAGGCUGAGGGGCCAGAGGCUGGCCAAGAACACACAAGAAUAAGGCAGGGUCUGGGCAGGCCCCAGAGGCAAGCAUGGGAGCCUUUGCAUUCUGCUCUGUCUGCUAGUCUGGACUCAUAGCCUGUCAUUCCCCUUCCUCAAAUACCAACAAUAGAAAAAGAACACCUGGCUUAGGCCUCCCUGUGUGGUACCUCCUCUUCCUGUACCCUCCAUCCCAACACAUGUUGUUUGCACAGACUGAAAUCUGAACCCUCUACAUCAUCUCUAAAUAAAUAAAUAAAGCAUU